GAUGAACGCUGGCGGCGUGCCUAAUACAUGCAAGUCGAGCGAACAGACGAGGAGCUUGCUCCUCUGACGUUAGCGGCGGACGGGUGAGCAACACGUGGAUAACCUACCUAUAAGACUGGGAUAACUUCGGGAAACCGGAGCUAAUACCGGAUAAUAUAUUGAACCGCAUGGUUCAAUAGUGAAAGACGGUUUUGCUGUCACUUAUAGAUGGAUCCGCGCCGCAUUAGCUAGUUGGUAAGGUAACGGCUUACCAAGGCAACGAUGCGUAGCCGACCUGAGAGGGUGAUCGGCCACACUGGAACUGAGACACGGUCCAGACUCCUACGGGAGGCAGCAGUAGGGAAUCUUCCGCAAUGGGCGAAAGCCUGACGGAGCAACGCCGCGUGAGUGAUGAAGGUCUUCGGAUCGUAAAACUCUGUUAGUAGGGAAGAACAAAUGUGUAAGUAACUAUGCACGUCUUGACGGUACCUAAUCAGAAAGCCACGGCUAACUACGUG
This 497-nucleotide ribosomal RNA is filed under the name uncultured bacterium. RNAcentral describes it as "partial 16S ribosomal RNA". It matches the Rfam family "Bacterial small subunit ribosomal RNA", at positions 28 to 507 of the family's 1533-position model. The record is from RNAcentral.